CUUUGCUGAGUUUCAUUUCUUGUCUGUAAAAUAGAGAUAUUACUUACCUAAUAGAAUGUAUAGCAAAAAUAUACAUGAAUGAAAAGUCCACUCAUUCAAUAGAUAUUUAUUGGCACCUACUAUGUACCAUGCACUGUCCUAGGUGCUAAGGCAUAUAGUAUGAAUAUAACAGACAUGGAACUCACUUUCUACUUGAGGGAAGACAGACAAACAAAUAAAUGAAAUAUAUUGUAUGUGAACUGGUAAUGAGUGUCAUGGAGAAAAACAAAUCAGGGUACUGGUGUAGGGAGUGCUGGGGGCUGGGAGAUAUUGCAUUUUCAAUUACAUCUCACCUGAAGGACAUGAUGGAGCAAGACAUGUGGAUAUAGGAAGGUAGGGAGGGGCUCAGGGAAGGUCACUACCCCGAUUCCUGGCUGCAGCUAUGGUUACUGUUGUAGCUCUUGUAAUGACCCAUUUUGGCGUCCCUGAAGCAGCAACUCUGACUUCUACAACUUCAGACCAGGGUCUUCCAGUGGGAUAUCUCCCUGGUUGUGAUCUGUAACUAAGCCACUAAAAGCUCUACCUUGAGCUUUCAGAUUCUUAUAAAAGCCCUGGAUAUAUAAGUAUUUUAUUUGACAUGUUCUUGAUUACAGUCCUCUCUCUCCAUUCCCUUCCUGACUGUGACACAGGUGCUGGAUGGCUGGGCUGGAGGGCAAUCUAGAACAACAGCAUCCUGUGCUUAACUCAGUUAUCACUCAUCACACUUCCUGAUACUCCGUCAUUUUCUCCAGACUAAACUUCUGAACCUCAAAUUCUUUCCUUAAGGUUAUUUCAUUGCAAGUACUCUGACACUACUAGAUCUGACACUACUAGAUCUUGUUCAGGUAAAAAGGGGAAAUUUGUCAUACGGAAGUAUUUUCAAGAUACCAAAUACAGGAAGUUUCUUUGGGCCUUAUAAGGAAGAGGAAGCUGAAAAGCUAAGAGGAUUCAUUCCUGGUGAACUCUUUUUUUUUCUCUCUUCUGUCUGUGUCAAUUCUUUUCUCCCAAAGCAAGUCAGCUUUCUGUGCAACUCCAUGUAUAUGAAUACAGAUGGCAGCCAUAAUUUUAGAGCAUGCGUAACUUCACUUUAAGAGAACAAAAAAGUCUGAGCAACUGUCUUUGAAUCCCAGUUCCAACUUCCUCAGGAGGGAGAUCAUGAAUGGCUCAGCUUGAGUCAGGUGACAACUCAUGGUGCGAUCAAGGAGUGUGGGUAGCAGGGUCACAAACCGUAACACAGGGGCUAGAGGCUGACUACUCUGGGUGAAGAAGGUAGUUCUCAAAGAAAGAAGGCAGAAUCCUUAAUCUAAAUAAAGACUCAGGAAUUAACGCUCUGUACACUGAUAAUUAUGUGAGGGGAAUUUCUAU
Molecule: long non-coding RNA, 1383 nt
Filed under: Delphinapterus leucas (beluga whale)
Lineage: Eukaryota; Metazoa; Chordata; Mammalia; Artiodactyla; Monodontidae
Description: lncRNA (ENSDLEG00000019679.1)
Source: RNAcentral